This 2799-nucleotide long non-coding RNA is filed under the name Homo sapiens (human). RNAcentral describes it as "non-protein coding lnc-UBXN6-2:4". Lineage: Eukaryota; Metazoa; Chordata; Mammalia; Primates; Hominidae. The record is from RNAcentral.
AGACGCUCUAAGGGAGUGAAGGGGUGGAGCUUAAGGGAAAGAGGCAGGACAUAGACCUCCACAAGAGAAGGGGAUAUAAGGAGGGCAGAACAUUGGAUACCGCAGAAAAGAAGGCCAAUCACUUAACGCAAUGGGCGGGUCAUUGACAGCCUCUCCCGCUCAGGAGGAGAGGCUUAAAGUAGAUAUGCAAGCCAUUGGAUACCACAAGAGAAGCGCCUCAAGGUAGGGAGCAGGCAUUGGCCAUCACAAGAGGCGGGGCUUCAGCGGGAACGUCGGCCAUUGGCUAUCGAAAGAAGAGCGAUACAACAUAAAACAGGGACGGGCGAUUGCCAGCUCGAGGAGGCGGGACUUAGAGGAAGGGGCAGGCUCCGGGGGAGCUCUUAGUAUAAACAGCCACAAAAUGCACAAAAUAGUUAUUUCUUCACUUAGUUAAAAACUUAACUGAGUACCUACUAUAUGCCAGGGCCCCAAAACGCCACACAGACCUAUUCAUUCAUUCAAGAAAAAUGUACUGAAUACCGUGGGGCCGAGUCACUUGAUUGUCCUGGGCUUCGCUCUCUGCACUUGGAAGAUGGGGCCCAUAAUGAUUGUGAGGACCCUGCUCUAGACUGAGCCCGGCAACAGGAAAUACAGGAAGUAUUAGAAGCUAUAACUCGGCCGGACGCGAUGGCUCACGGCUGUAACCCCGGCACUUUGAGAGGACGAAGCGGGCGGAUCACGAGGUCAGGAGUUUGAGACCAAGCCUGGCCAACAUGGUGAAACCCCGUCUCUACUAAAAAUACAAAAAUUAGCUGGGCGUGGUGGCACGCACCUAUACCAGCUACUCAGGAAGCUGAGGCAGGAGAAUCACUCGAACCCAGGAGCGGGGGGUUGCAGUAAGCCGAGAUCGCGCCACUGCACUCCAGACUGGGUGACAGAGCAGAAAAAAAAAAGCUAUAACUCUACCUUCCGGCAGGGCGUGGUGGCUCACGCCUGUAAUCCCAGCACUUUGGGAGGCCGAGGUGGGUGGAUCACGAGGUCAGGAGAUCGAGACCAUCCUGGCUAACAUAGUGAAACCCCGUCUCGACUAAAAAUACAAAAAAAAUAGCUAGGCGUGGUGGCAGGCGCCUGUAGUCCCAGCUACUAGGGAGGCUGAGGCAGGAGAAUGGCCUGACCCCGGGAGGCGGAGCUUGCAGUGAGCCGAGAUCGUGCCACUGCACUCCAGCCUGGGCGACAGCGCGAGACUCUGUCUCAAAAAAAAAACAAAAACAAAAAACAAAACUCUACCUUCCAGGAAUCAAGUAUAACAGGGCCAAGAAAUGUUAAGUUUUAAAAUUUGUUGAUGUUGCUGUGUUUUGUUUUGUUUUUUGUAAUUAGGAUCCAUGGUAAGAACUAAAAUGAACCAGGGUGCUUGAGGAAAAAAAGCUGAAUAAUGGAGACGACUUCUUCUCUCCUGGGGGAUCACAGAGGGUUACUGGAUGAAGUGAGUUUAACCAGACACUGGGAGAAUGAAUAGAAGUUGGACAUGAUAGUGAGGCGAGCCCUGGGAGGGCAUGAGGAGCAGAGGGAAGAGCAAAAACAAGCGUCUGAUCCUCACUUAAGGUCAGGAGUACGAGACCAGCCUGGCCAACAUGGUGAAAUCCCAUCUCUAGAAAAAAUACAAAAAUUAGCCGGGCGUGGUGGUGGGCGCCUAUACUCCUAGCUACUUGGGAGGCUGAGGCAGGAUAAUCACUUGAACCUGGGAGGCGGAGGGUGCAGUGAGCCGAGAUCACGCCGUUACACUACAACCUGGGUGACAGAGCGAGACUCCGUUGCAAAAAACAAACGAGACCGGGCGCGGUGGCUCACGCCUGUAAUCCCAACACUUUGAGAGGCCGAGGCGGGUAGAUCACUUGAAGUCAGGAGUUUGAGACCACCCUGGCCAACAUGGUGAAACCGCAUCUCUACUAAAAAUACAAAAAAUUAGCCAGGCGUGGUGGCAGGCGCCUGUAAUUCCAGCUACUCGGGAGGCUGAGGCACGAGAAUCACUUGAACCCGGGAAGCGGAGGUUGCAGUGAGCCAAGAUCAUGCCACUGCACUCCAGCCUGGGUGACAGAGCGAGACUUUGAUUCAAAAAAAAAAAGAAAAGAAAAGAAAAAGCAAACAAGCAAAAACAAGAACAACAACAGCAACAACAAAAAACCCAUCUGAUCCUAGGAUGACUGUGUACGGAGUCUUGCUCUGUUGCCAAGCUGGAUUGCAGUGGCGCAGUCUCGGCUCACUGCAACCUCUGCUUCCCAAGUUCAGGUGAUUCUCCUGCCUUAGCCUCCUGAGUAGCUGGGAUUACAGGCAUGAGCCACCGUGCCCGGCAUACUGAGAACUUUCUAAUCACAUGAUCACCCCUACAAUCUAUAGAGAGUGUUAUUCUUAUCCCCAUUUCAUAGAUAGGAGACUGGAGAUCAGAAAGAUUGAAGUUUGGGUUGCACUGUAUUCUUCUUUUAUUUAUUUAUUUUUUUACUUUAUUUAUUUAUUUUUGAGACAGAGUCUCGCUCUGUCGCCCAGGCUGGAGUGCAGUGGUGCAAUCUCAGCUCACUGCAACCUCUGUCUCCUGCGUUCAAGUGAUUCUGCUGCCUCAGCUUCUCAAGUAGCUGGGAUUACUGGCACACACCACCACACCCGGCUGAUUUUUGUAUUUUUAAUAGAGACGGGGUUUUGCUAUGUUGGCCAGGUCGGUCUUGAACUUCUGACCUUAAGUGAUCCACCCGCCUUGACCUCCCAAAGUGCUGGGAUUACAGGUGUGAGCCACCGCACCUGGCCCAAUUCUUUUCCUUUUUUUUUUUU